CGAUGAAGAACGCAGCGAAAUGCGAUAAGUAAUGUGAAUUGCAGAAUUCCGUGAAUCAUCGAAUCUUUGAACGCACAUUGCGCCCCCUGGCAUUCCGGGGGGCAUGCCUGUCCGAGCGUCAUUUCUGCCCUCAAGCGCGGCUUGUGUGUUGGGCGCGGUCCCCCCGGGGACCUGCCCGAAAGGCAGCGGCGACGUCCGUCGGGUCCUCGAGCGUAUGGGGCUCUGUCACUCGCUCGGGAAGGACCUGCGGGGGUUGGUCACCACGAACGAUUCGGCGAGUGAAGCGGCAAGAGCUCAAAUUUGAAAUCUGGCCCCUUUGGGGUCCGAGUUGUAAUUUGCAGAGGAUGCUUCGGGUGCGGUCCCCGUCUAAGUGCCCUGGAACGGGCCGUCAUAGAGGGUGAGAAUCCCGUCUGGGAUGGGCGGCCGCGCCCGUGUGAAGCUCCUUCGACGAGUCGAGUUGUUUGGGAAUGCAGCUCUAAGUGGGUGGUAAAUUUCAUCUAAAGCUAAAUACUGGCCGGAGACCGAUAGCGCACAAGUAGAGUGAUCGAAAGAUGAAAAGCACUUUGAAAAGAGAGUUAAACAGCACGUGAAAUUGUUGAAAGGGAAGCGUUGUCCACCAGACUCGCCCGGGGGGGCUCAGCCGGCACUCGUGCCGGUGUACUCCUCCCCGGGCGGGCCAGCAUCGGUUUGGGCGGCUGGUGAAAGGCCCCGGGAAUGUAACACCCUCCGGGGUGCCUUAUAGCCCGGGGUGUCAUGCGGCCCGCCUGGACCGAGGCCCGCGCUUCGGCGAGGAUGCUGGCGUAAUGGUGGUCAACGGCC
RNAcentral lists this ribosomal RNA (819 nucleotides) under Chromocleista sp. MH355. Its description in RNAcentral is "eukaryotic LSU rRNA". The stretch from base 224 to 819 matches the Rfam family "Eukaryotic large subunit ribosomal RNA", at positions 1 to 649 of the family's 3401-position model. The record is from RNAcentral. Lineage: Eukaryota; Fungi; Ascomycota; Eurotiomycetes; Eurotiales; Aspergillaceae.